GUGGGGAAUCUUCCGCAAUGGGCGAAAGCCUGACGGAGCAACGCCGCGUGAGUGAUGACGGCCUUCGGGUUGUAAAGCUCUGUUAUAUGGGACGAACGGGCAUGGGGCGAAUACCCCCAUGCAGUGACGGUACCGUAAGAGAAAGCCACGGCUAACUACGUGCCAGCAGCCGCGGUAAUACGUAGGUGGCAAGCGUUGUCCGGAAUUAUUGGGCGUAAAGGGCGUGUAGGCGGCCAGACAAGUCUGUCUUAAAAGUGCGGGGCUCAACCCCGUGAUGGGAUGGAAACUGUCGGGCUAGAGUGUCGGAGAGGAAAGCGGAAUUCCUAGUGUAGCGGUGAAAUGCGUAGAUAUUAGGAGGAACACCAGUGGCGAAAGCGGCUUUCUGGACGACAACUGACGCUGAGGCGCGAAAGCCAGGGGAGCAAACGGGAUUAGAAACCCCAGUAGUCC
RNAcentral lists this ribosomal RNA (450 nucleotides) under uncultured bacterium. RNAcentral's name for it is "partial 16S ribosomal RNA". It matches the Rfam family "Bacterial small subunit ribosomal RNA", at positions 354 to 796 of the family's 1533-position model. The record is from RNAcentral.